AUGGCGGCUAACUGGGAACGACUUCCUGAUGACAGAGCUUGGGUUGAGGUAGAGUAUAUCAACAGCUACGCUGUGUUCAUGGGUUAUCUGUCCAUGGCCAUCAAGGGCCUGGGUUUCUUGGUGCUUACUUGGGCUACCGUUGUACUUCUUGGUGGCUUUGUCUCGAUGCUGCACAAGAAAGACUUUUGGUGUUUAACGUCCAUCACUCUUGUACAGACAGCUGGGAUAUUCGAUGUUAGUCUAAAUGAAAAACUAGGCUAUAUGGGUGAUGCAUUUGGCGGGUUAAUGAUGGCCAUUUUUUCAGGCGUGGCAGGCGAACUGACAAGCUGCGACUGGGGCCCUGUAUUGGCUUAUGUUUGUCUCAUUUUCGUGGCAUUUCUUUUACUGUUGGUUCAACUAGUGGUGUUGGCCAUAAUAUUGAGCCCUCUGGCAAUUAUUUAUGUGCUUGGGAUAUUCAUGUCCGGAGUGGUUUCAUUGUGGCGUCUGAUAGAGCACGAUUACGGGGGCAACUCAGAUGGAGAAGCAUCAAACCUGGCGCCGGCAAUGGAAACCUUGUACUACCUUGCUCUGCUCCAGGGUGUCAUCUUCUGCUAUAGGUUCGUAUUGGGUCGCAUGGGGAAGAGGUUGCCUAAGGCUAUGGGAACUAAAGACUCGGAAGUUCAAGUUGUCCUUCACAACUACUUGUGCGAAACAAGGAGAGGGUGUGAGAAGGACCUGACCUUUGCUGAAGGAAGGAACCUCAUCACAUAUGCUGUAGACAAGAUUGGAUCCAAUUCACCUGUUGAUUGCAUUUCUGGGGUAAAGAUCUUAUAUGCA
Molecule: ribosomal RNA, 816 nt
Filed under: Triticum aestivum (bread wheat)
Lineage: Eukaryota; Viridiplantae; Streptophyta; Magnoliopsida; Poales; Poaceae
Description: partial small subunit ribosomal RNA
Source: RNAcentral